UACGUAGGUGGCAAGCGUUGUCCGGAAUUAUUGGGCGUAAAGCGCGCGCAGGUGGUUUCUUAAGUCUGAUGUGAAAGCCCACGGCUCAACCGUGGAGGGUCAUUGGAAACUGGGGAACUUGAGUGCAGAAGAGGAAAGUGGAAUUCCAAGUGUAGCGGUGAAAUGCGUAGAGAUUUGGAGGAACACCAGUGGCGAAGGCGGCUAUCUGGACAGAAACUGACGCUGAGGCGCGAAAGCUAGGGGAGCAAACAGG
This 253-nucleotide ribosomal RNA is filed under the name uncultured bacterium. RNAcentral's name for it is "partial 16S ribosomal RNA". It matches the Rfam family "Bacterial small subunit ribosomal RNA", at positions 524 to 776 of the family's 1533-position model. The record is from RNAcentral.